Molecule: ribosomal RNA, 619 nt
Filed under: uncultured bacterium
Lineage: Bacteria
Description: bacterial SSU rRNA
Rfam family: Bacterial small subunit ribosomal RNA
Source: RNAcentral
GCCCUUAGAGUUUGAUCAUGGCUCAGGAUGAACGCUGGCGGCGUGCUUAAUACAUGCAAGUCGAACGAAGUCAGUAGCAAUAUUGGCUGAGUGGCGAACGGGUGAGUAACGCGUUGGUGACCUGCCCCGAAGAGAGGGAUAACAGUUCGAAAGGAUUGCUAAUACCCCAUGUGGUCGUUUGGAUUAGAUACCUUAUGACUAAACGGAUUUAUUCGCUUCGGGAGGGGCCUGCGUCCCAUCAGCUAGUUGGUAGGGUAAUGGCCUACCAAGGCGAUGACGGGUAGGGGACCUGAGAGGGUGGCCCCCCACAAUGGAACUGAAACACGGUCCAUACACCUACGGGUGGCAGCAGUAGGGAAUAUUGGUUAAUCUGCGAAAGCGGGAACCAGCAACGCCGCGUGCACGAUGACGGCCUUCGGGUUGUAAAGUGCUUUUUGAAAGGAUGAGGAAGGACAGUACUUUCAGAAUAAGCUUCGGCUAACUACGUGCCAGCAGCCGCGGUAAAACGUAGGAAGCGAGCGUUAUCCGGAUUUACUGGGCGUAAAGCGUGUGUAGGCGGUUUGACAAGUUGGAUGUGAAAGCUCCUGGCUUAACUGGGAGAGGUCGUUCAAAACUGUCA